UAUAAAUUUAGUUUUAACUGCCGGGGUACUACGAACGCAUGUUUAAAACUCAAAGGAAUUGGCGGUGCUAUAUCCUACUAGGGGAACCUGUUCCUUAAUUCGAUAACCCACGAAGAUCUUACUUAUUCUAGCUUAUCAGCUUAUAUACCGUCGUUUAGCUAACCUCCCGAGAGAAAAGAAGUUAGCAGAAAAGGCCCAUAUUUCCUAAUAAAACAGAUAAAGGUGUAGCCAAUGAAUAAGGGAGAAUUUGUUACAAUUAACAACUUGUUAGUGGAAUCAAAAUGAAAUCUUUUGAUGAAAGAGGACUUAGAAGUAAUUUUUUUGAAUAAAACUAAAAUGAAUACGGCUCUAUAGUGUGUUCAANCCCCC
Molecule: ribosomal RNA, 369 nt
Filed under: Scutellastra cochlear
Lineage: Eukaryota; Metazoa; Mollusca; Gastropoda; Patellidae
Description: partial 12S ribosomal RNA
Rfam family: Bacterial small subunit ribosomal RNA
Source: RNAcentral